CAGUCGCCACGGUAAUACGGAGGGUGCAAGCGUUAAUCGGAAUUACUGGGCGUAAAGCGUGCGUAGGCGGUUCGUUAAGUCUGUUGUGAAAGCCCCGGGCUCAACCUGGGAAUGGCAAUGGAUACUGGCGAGCUAGAGUGUGUCAGAGGAUGGUGGAAUUCCCGGUGUAGCGGUGAAAUGCGUAGAGAUCGGGAGGAACAUCAGUGGCGAAGGCGGCCAUCUGGGACAACACUGACGCUGAGGCACGAAAGCGUGGGGAGCAAACAGGAUUAGAUACCCGCGUAGUCCCUGUCUCUUAUAC
This 301-nucleotide ribosomal RNA is filed under the name uncultured bacterium. RNAcentral's name for it is "partial 16S ribosomal RNA". It matches the Rfam family "Bacterial small subunit ribosomal RNA", at positions 509 to 807 of the family's 1533-position model. The record is from RNAcentral.